UACGUAGGGUGCAAGCGUUGUCCGGAAUUAUUGGGCGUAAAGAGCUCGUAGGCGGUUUGUCGCGUCGAAUGUGAAAACCUGGGGCUCAACCCCGGGCCUGCAGCCGAUACGGGCAAGCUAGAAUUCGGUAGGGGAGACUGGAAUUCCUGGUGUAGCGGUGAAAUGCGCAGAUAUCAGGAGGAACACCGGUGGCGAAGGCGGGUCUCUGGGCCGAAAUUGACGCUGAGGAGCGAAAGCGUGGGGAGCGAACAGG
Molecule: ribosomal RNA, 253 nt
Filed under: uncultured bacterium
Lineage: Bacteria
Description: partial 16S ribosomal RNA
Rfam family: Bacterial small subunit ribosomal RNA
Source: RNAcentral